RNAcentral lists this non-coding RNA (25 nucleotides) under Mus musculus (house mouse). The record is from RNAcentral. Lineage: Eukaryota; Metazoa; Chordata; Mammalia; Rodentia; Muridae.
UUCAUCUGUCUCCUCUGCCACUAAG